AUACGGAGGGGGCUAACGUUGUUCGGAAUUACUGGGCGUAAAGCGCACGUAGGCGGUUAUUCAAGUCAGAGGUGAAAGCCCGGAGCUCAACUCCGGAAUUGCCUUUGAAACUAGAUAACUUGAACACGGGAGAGGUGAGUGGAAUUCCGAGUGUAGAGGUGAAAUUCGUAGAUAUUCGGAAGAACACCAGUGGCGAAGGCGGCUCACUGGACCGUUGUUGACGCUGAGGUGCGAAAGCGUGGGGAGC
Molecule: ribosomal RNA, 247 nt
Filed under: uncultured bacterium
Lineage: Bacteria
Description: partial 16S ribosomal RNA
Rfam family: Bacterial small subunit ribosomal RNA
Source: RNAcentral